RNAcentral lists this long non-coding RNA (427 nucleotides) under Mytilus galloprovincialis (Mediterranean mussel). Lineage: Eukaryota; Metazoa; Mollusca; Bivalvia; Mytilida; Mytilidae. The record is from RNAcentral.
UUGUUGAUUUACGUUUACUUUCGUCCAUUUGUUCAAAAAGAUUAAUGAAAUUGAUAUGUACUUCAAAUAUAACCAGUUAAAUUCUUAAUUUGUUGUUCGGCGAAUGCAAAAGAAACAGACGCUCUUGUUUCCAUAUCGAUAGAAGGGGAGAACAAUUAAAAUGAUUAAUACGUGAUUAAAAUCGGACUCUCUUUUUACAUUUGAUUAUCUGAUUAUCUUAUUAUCUUUUUAUCAGCGUCGGCGUCAGCAUGUGGGUUCAGUCUGUGGCGAAAAUGUGUAAGUCAUCAACAAUUUUGUCAAAACUUCCUAAAAGUUUAUGAAACUUCGACAUUUUCUCGCAUCGUACUAAGACUAUUAUAAAUUGAUACUAUAUAAUAAAAGGCAAUAAAAACGAUAAAAAUAUAUCAAGGAUUUUAUAAGACUUGCU